Molecule: signal recognition particle RNA, 267 nt
Filed under: Dehalococcoidia bacterium
Lineage: Bacteria; Bacillati; Chloroflexota; Dehalococcoidia
Also listed under: 1 other name
Description: signal recognition particle sRNA large type
Rfam family: Bacterial large signal recognition particle RNA
About the family: The signal recognition particle (SRP) is a universally conserved ribonucleoprotein involved in the co-translational targeting of proteins to membranes. Archaeal SRP consists of a 7S RNA and homologues of the eukaryotic SRP19 and SRP54 proteins.
Source: RNAcentral
UCGUGCUAAGUGGGGAGGUAGCGGUGCCCUGUACUCGCAAUCCGCUCUAGCGGGGCUGAAUUCCUCCUCUGAGGUUCUCGUCUUAGGACCGCUAUCUGUCUGGAGGUGGUGUUGAGGAUUGGGUCCUGUGCAGCGGUGACCUGUGAACUCCGUCAGGUCCGGAAGGAAGCAGCGGUAAACAGUAAUUCCCGGGUGUUGCAGGUCAGCCUGAUUUGAGUCACACCAGCGUGAUAUGUUCUGGGGCGGUAUCGAGGUGGGGGUGCACGG